GGUGUUAGGAACAGACUAUAAGAAAUGGUUGUUCUGGAGAAAAAGGGUAAAACUUAUGAGGGCCCUUGUGAAUUGAUGAAUAUGAAGGCACUAAGAAAGCAGAAAUAGAACUGAGAAGAAUGAAAUAACUGUCUCUACCUUUCUCGAAUUGUCUAAUUUGGAAGGAACGAAAGACAGCUAAUAAGCAACUCUCUGCAAGAAGACAUAUGGCUUAGAAUCUACUUGGAGAAAGUCAAACACAGAAUCCCUUUGAAUUUAUUGGUCACUCCAGGUGGUUUGAACUGCCAAAUAAGAAACAGGUCCUCUUCAAUGUACAGUCUGCCAAGUAUGAGGUCUGAAUGACCAUCAUUAUUAUGUAUUUAAUGCACAUAGAAAAUCUAUCUGCAACCUUCCAGAGUGUACCAGAAGUUUGGAAUGCACAUUAUUAUUGGCUCCAUCUCAAACUAGUCAUAAAUCAAAGAAAAGAGCAGUUCCAGGGGAAACAUCAUAGAGGCUUUUAGGCCCCCACGCUGUGUGAACCUGGUGAGAAAGUGAAGUCUGCUCUCACUGGACACUGGAACUGUUCGUCUCUGUCUCUGCUGUACUGUCCCUGUCUCUACCUCACUCAAUAAGGAAAU
Chlorocebus sabaeus (green monkey) is the source of this 617-nucleotide long non-coding RNA. RefSeq lists it as uncharacterized. The record is from RefSeq and is a predicted model, not a curated record. Lineage: Eukaryota; Metazoa; Chordata; Mammalia; Primates; Cercopithecidae.